CCUACGUGCGGCAGCAGUGGGGAAUAUUGGACAAUGGGCGAAAGCCUGAUCCAGCCAUGCCGCGUGUGUGAAGAAGGCCUUCGGGUUGUAAAGCACUUUCAGUGGGGAAGAAAGCCUUGGGGCUAAUACCCUCGAGGAAGGACAUCACCCACAGAAGAAGCACCGGCUAACUCCGUGCCAGCAGCCGCGGUAAUACGGAGGGUGCGAGCGUUAAUCGGAAUUACUGUGCGUAAAGCGCGCGUAGGCGGUCUGAUAAGCCGGUUGUGAAAGCCCCGGGCUCAACCUGGGAACGGCAUCCGGAACUGUCAGGCUAGAGUGCAGGAGAGGAAGGUAGAAUUCCCGGUGUAGCGGUGAAAUGCGUAGAGAUCGGGAGGAAUACCAGUGGCGAAGGCGGCCUUCUGGACUGACACUGACGCUGAGGUGCGAAAGCGUGGGUAGCAGACAGGAUUAGAUACCCGAGUAGUC
RNAcentral lists this ribosomal RNA (465 nucleotides) under Vreelandella stevensii. Its description in RNAcentral is "partial 16S ribosomal RNA". It matches the Rfam family "Bacterial small subunit ribosomal RNA", at positions 338 to 795 of the family's 1533-position model. The record is from RNAcentral. Lineage: Bacteria; Pseudomonadati; Pseudomonadota; Gammaproteobacteria; Oceanospirillales; Halomonadaceae.